UAAAUAAUCGAGUCUGGACCAGACAAUCCAAGAUUCAACAGCAUAAGAAUCGAACUACGCAACUGGAAAAAGAUGGCAUGUGUUAACCAAGUCAGCGAGCCUGACUCCAAGAUCCCGUUAUUCGCCUCUUACAAGCGUGGAUUGCUGAAGACCAAUU
Molecule: long non-coding RNA, 157 nt
Organism: Haliotis rubra (blacklip abalone)
Lineage: Eukaryota; Metazoa; Mollusca; Gastropoda; Lepetellida; Haliotidae
Exons: 3
Source: RefSeq, a predicted model, not a curated record